GCUUGAGCACGUAGGUGGGUUUGUAAGUCAGAUGUGAAAGCCUUCUGUUCAACGGAAGAAUUGCAUCUGAAACUACAAGUCUUGAGUGUAGGAGGGGAGAAUGGAACUUCUGGUGGAGCGGUGAAAUCCGUAGAUAUCGGAAGGAACGCCGGCGGCGAAAGCGAUUCUCUGGCCUAUUACUGACACUCAGUGUGCGAAAGCUAGGGGAGCAAACGGGAUUAGAUACCCCGGUAGUCCUAGCCGUAAACGAUGGGCACUAAGUAGUGGGAUUACCGACGUUCUCUCUGCCGUAGCUAACGCAUUAAGUGCCCCGCCUGGGGAGUACGGCCGCAAGGCUAAAACUCAAAAGAAUUGACGGGGGCUCGCACAAGCGGUGGAGCAUGUGGCUUAAUUCGAUGCAACGCGAAGAACCUUACCGGGGCUUGACAUGGUAGAAGUAGGAACCCGAAAGGGUAACGAACGGUAUCCAGUCCGUGACUAUCACAGGUGUUGCAUGGCUGUCGUCAGCUCGUGUCGUGAGACGUUGGGUUAAGUCCCCUAACGAGCGAAACCCUUGUUUUUAGUUACCAGCGGGUUAUGCCGGGUACUCUAGAAAGACUGCCGUCGUCAAGACGGAGGAAGGUGGGGAUGACGUCAAGUCAUCAUGGCCCUUAUGCCCCGGGCUGCACACGCGCUACAAUGGUCGGUACAAACGGAAGCGAAGCCGAGAGGUGAAGCGAAUCCAAGC
This 727-nucleotide ribosomal RNA is filed under the name uncultured Planctomycetota bacterium. RNAcentral describes it as "bacterial SSU rRNA". It matches the Rfam family "Bacterial small subunit ribosomal RNA", at positions 558 to 1278 of the family's 1533-position model. The record is from RNAcentral. Lineage: Bacteria; Pseudomonadati; Planctomycetota.